UCCGGUUGAUCCUGCCAGAGGCCGCUGCUAUCCGGCUGGGACUAAGCCAUGCUAGUCUAGGGGCUUGUACUCCUUCGGGGGUGCAAGCACCGGCGGACGGCUCAGUAACACGUGGACAACCUGCCCUCGGGUGGGGGAUAACCCCGGGAAACUGGGGCUAAUCCCCCAUAGGUGAUGGGUGCUGGAAUGCCCCAUCUCCGAAAGCGCUUAGCGCCCGAGGAUGGGUCUGCGGCGGAUUAGGUAGUUGGUGGGGUAACGGCCCACCAAGCCUAAGAUCCGUACGGGCUGUGGGAGCAGGAGCCCGGAGAUGGACCCUGAGACAAGGGUCCAGGCCCUACGGGGCGCAGCAGGCGCGAAACCUCCGCAAUGCGGGAAACCGCGACGGGGUUAGCCGGAGUGCCCGUGCAUUGCACGGGCUGUCGGGGUGCCUAAACAGCACCCCAUAGCAAGGGCCGGGCAAGGCCGGUGGCAGCCGCCGCGGUAAGACCGGCGGCCCGAGUGGCGGCCACUCUUAUUGGGCCUAAAGCGUCCGUAGCCGGCCCAGUAAGUCCCCCGGGAAAUCUGGUCGCUUAACGAUCAGACUUCCGGGG
Molecule: ribosomal RNA, 590 nt
Filed under: uncultured archaeon
Lineage: Archaea
Description: bacterial SSU rRNA
Rfam family: Archaeal small subunit ribosomal RNA
Source: RNAcentral